Molecule: ribosomal RNA, 403 nt
Filed under: Actinomycetes bacterium
Lineage: Bacteria; Bacillati; Actinomycetota; Actinomycetes
Description: Actinobacteria bacterium partial 16S ribosomal RNA
Rfam family: Bacterial small subunit ribosomal RNA
Source: RNAcentral
UGGGGAAUAUUGCACAAUUGGGGAAACCCUGAUGCAGCGACGCCGCUUGAACGAAGAAGGUCUUCGUAUCUUAAAGUUCUGUCCUAUGGGAAGAUAAUGACAGUACCAUAGAAGAAAGCUCCGGCUAAAUACGUGCCAGCAGCCGCGGUAAUACGUAUGGAGCGAGCGUUGUCCGGAAUUAUUGGGCGUAAAGGGUACGCAGGCGGUUUAAUAAGUCGAAUGUUAAAGAUCGGGGCUCAACCCCGUAAAGCAUUGGAAACUGAUAAACUAGAGGAGUGGAGAGGAAAGGGGAAUUCCUAGUGUAGUGGGGAAAUACGUAGAUAUUAGGAGGAAUACCAGGAGCGAAGGCGACUUUCUGGACACAAACUGACGCUGAGGUACGAAAGCGUGGGGAGCAAAAAGG